UACGUAGGGAGCAAGCGUUGUUCGGAUUUACUGGGCGUAAAGGGCGCGUAGGCGGCCAUCUAAGUCAGACGUGAAAUCCCCCGGCUUAACCUGGGAAUGGCAUUUGGGACUGCAAGGCUCGAGUGCGGCAGAGGAGACUGGAAUUCCUGGUGUAGCAGUGAAAUGCGUAGAUAUCAGGAGGAACACCGAUGGCGAAGGCAGGUCUCUGGGCUGACACUGACGCUCAUGCACGAAAGCGUGGGGAGCAAACAGG
This 253-nucleotide ribosomal RNA is filed under the name uncultured bacterium. RNAcentral describes it as "partial 16S ribosomal RNA". It matches the Rfam family "Bacterial small subunit ribosomal RNA", at positions 524 to 776 of the family's 1533-position model. The record is from RNAcentral.